RNAcentral lists this ribosomal RNA (121 nucleotides) under uncultured bacterium. RNAcentral's name for it is "partial 16S ribosomal RNA". The record is from RNAcentral.
GCCGUGGCUUAUUCCUCAGGUACCGUCAUUAUCGUCCCUGAGAAAAGAGGUUUACAACCCAAGGCCUUCAUCCCUCACGCGGCGUUGCUGCUUCAGGGUUUCCCCCAUUGAGCAAAAUUCC